GGAGGGGUGCUAGAGUGGACGAUUAGGCCGGUCUUGAAAACCGGAGUCCUUCACGGGACCGUAGGUUCGAAUCCUACCCCCUCCGCCA
RNAcentral lists this transfer RNA (88 nucleotides) under Nitrospira sp. RNAcentral's name for it is "tRNA-Ser". It matches the Rfam family "tRNA". Rfam says of the family: Transfer RNA (tRNA) molecules are approximately 80 nucleotides in length. Their secondary structure includes four short double-helical elements and three loops (D, anti-codon, and T loops). The record is from RNAcentral. RNAcentral also lists the same sequence under 1 other name. Lineage: Bacteria; Pseudomonadati; Nitrospirota; Nitrospiria; Nitrospirales; Nitrospiraceae.